Molecule: unclassified non-coding RNA, 214 nt
Filed under: Glomus sp.
Lineage: Eukaryota; Fungi; Glomeromycota; Glomeromycetes; Glomerales; Glomeraceae
Description: partial contains 5.8S ribosomal RNA and internal transcribed spacer 2
Rfam family: 5.8S ribosomal RNA (bases 1-65)
Source: RNAcentral
GUGAAUCAUCGAAUCUUUGAACGCAAAUUGCACUCUCUUCGGAGAGUAUGCCUGUUUGAGGGUCAGCCUAAAAAAAAAAAUCGACAUAGUCGCUGUUUCGCGGUUACAUUCGUCGGAAAUUUUGUCAUCUUAAACCUUUGGGUUUUAAGUGGCUUAAAUUUUUUUUUACGAUUCCCCUAACGUUCUUAAGAUUUACUUUUUACCCGUUUAAGGA